Molecule: microRNA precursor, 84 nt
Organism: Dasypus novemcinctus (nine-banded armadillo)
Lineage: Eukaryota; Metazoa; Chordata; Mammalia; Cingulata; Dasypodidae
Product: microRNA 1251
Source: Ensembl
GUCAGCUAUGUGGACUCUAGCUGCCAAAGGCGCUUCUCCUUCUGAACAGAGCGCUUUGCUCAGCCAGUGUAGACAUGGCCUGAU